AACUUGAGAGUUUGAUCCUGGCUCAGAACGAACGCUGGCGGCAGGCUUAACACAUGCAAGUCGAGCGCCCCGCAAGGGGAGCGGCAGACGGGUGAGUAACGCGUGGGAAUCUACCCAUCUCUACGGAACAACUCCGGGAAACUGGAGCUAAUACCGUAUACGUCCUUUUGGAGAAAGAUUUAUCGGAGAUGGAUGAGCCCGCGUUGGAUUAGCUAGUUGGUGGGGUAAUGGCCUACCAAGGCGACGAUCCAUAGCUGGUCUGAGAGGAUGAUCAGCCACAUUGGGACUGAGACACGGCCCAAACUCCUACGGGAGGCAGCAGUGGGGAAUAUUGGACAAUGGGCGCAAGCCUGAUCC
This 357-nucleotide ribosomal RNA is filed under the name Mesorhizobium sp. RNAcentral describes it as "bacterial SSU rRNA". It matches the Rfam family "Bacterial small subunit ribosomal RNA", at positions 1 to 389 of the family's 1533-position model. The record is from RNAcentral. Lineage: Bacteria; Pseudomonadati; Pseudomonadota; Alphaproteobacteria; Hyphomicrobiales; Phyllobacteriaceae.